AGUUUAGAUUUUUAUAUAUUCUUAUCAAAGAAAAGUGGUGCUUUUCAAAUGUUUUGUAUUUAAUUAGACGAGCUUUAGUUGAUGUGAUGCUUGCUUGUUGCUUGAGUUUUGUGUUUUUGAGUGUGCUAGGUUUCAUAAAUGCGUUUAGACACCGUCCGGUCCUUCCCGUGAAUUUUCCAAAAUUUUUUCGGAACUUUUUUUCCAUUUUCUAUUUUUUUCCGUAAAACUUGCUAACAACUCAGUUCAACACACCCGCACAAAACAUAUUGACAUCCGCCACCACUUCCUUAGGGAUC
Molecule: long non-coding RNA, 296 nt
Filed under: Sorghum bicolor (sorghum)
Lineage: Eukaryota; Viridiplantae; Streptophyta; Magnoliopsida; Poales; Poaceae
Description: long non-coding RNA (SBIC_LNC017279)
Source: RNAcentral